GAAAUGCGAUAAGUAAUGUGAAUUGCAGAAUUCAGUGAAUCAUCGAAUCUUUGAACGCACAUUGCGCCCGCCAGUAUUCUGGCGGGCAUGCCUGUUCGAGCGUCAUUACAACCCUCAGGCCCCCGGGCCUGGCGUUGGGGAUCGGCGGAAGCCCCCUGCGGGCACAACGCCGUCCCCCAAAUACAGUGGCGGUCCCGCCGCAGCUUCCAUUGCGUAGUAGCUAACACCUCGCAACUGGAGAGCGGCGCGGCCACGCCGUAAAACACCCAACUUCUGAAUGUUGACCUCGAAUCAGGUAGGAAUACCCGCUGAACUUAGC
This 319-nucleotide unclassified non-coding RNA is filed under the name plant metagenome. Its description in RNAcentral is "partial contains 5.8S ribosomal RNA, internal transcribed spacer 2, and large subunit ribosomal RNA". The stretch from base 1 to 105 matches the Rfam family "5.8S ribosomal RNA", at positions 50 to 154 of the family's 154-position model. The record is from RNAcentral.